Molecule: transfer RNA, 84 nt
Filed under: Fidelibacterota bacterium
Lineage: Bacteria; Pseudomonadati; Fidelibacterota
Also listed under: 3 other names
Description: tRNA-Leu
Rfam family: tRNA
About the family: Transfer RNA (tRNA) molecules are approximately 80 nucleotides in length.
Source: RNAcentral
GCCGAAGUGGUGGAACUGGUAGACACGCUGUCUUGAGGGGGCAGUGGGAGUAAUCCUGUGCGGGUUCGAGUCCCGCCUUCGGCA